RNAcentral lists this ribosomal RNA (305 nucleotides) under uncultured bacterium. RNAcentral describes it as "bacterial SSU rRNA". It matches the Rfam family "Bacterial small subunit ribosomal RNA", at positions 337 to 634 of the family's 1533-position model. The record is from RNAcentral.
CCCUACGGGGGGCAGCAGUAGGGAAUCUUCCACAAUGGGCGAAAGCCUGAUGGAGCAACGCCGCGUGUGUGAUGAAGGCUUUCGGGUCGUAAAGCACUGUUGUAUGGGAAGAACAGCUAGAAUAGGAAAUGAUUUUAGUUUGACGGUACCAUACCAGAAAGGGACGGCUAAAUACGUGCCAGCAGCCGCGGUAAUACGUAUGUCCCGAGCGUUAUCCGGAUUUAUUGGGCGUAAAGCGAGCGCAGACGGUUUAUUAAGUCUGAUGUGAAAGCCCGGAGCUCAACUCCGGAAUGGCAUUGGAAACU